AUUCCCUUCAGUUUCAGGAGUGAAUUGAUUAUUCACAUGUUCUAUUUAGGGGGUUUAAGCUGCUAGUCUUUAAAGAAUAAAUGCUGAAGAUUGUCAUUGAUUCCUCUUUCUUUCCUCCCAUGUCUGCUCUGGGCCUUCUCAUUGAUGUAGUAUCUCAGGUUACUUCCAAAAUAAUUUGAGAAACGGAUUUAUAGAAGAAGCUAGCUUUCCAGUAGAAAAGUUUAGAUAACAAGAUUAAUGUGAUAAGAACUAAGAAAGCCCUUCCUAGUUUUCAUUGAAAAUGUGUUUUUAAUGCCCAGAGGUGCCCAGUCAAAAAGGAAAUAUUACAGAAGGAUUAUUUUCAUCAGCAGAGUUCUUGGGCAUUGCAAGUUCCAGUGUAAUUAGGGAAAUCACAUGUGAGUACAUCAAUACACUUCAGAUGCCAAUACGUUGGGCUUAAUGAGGACAGCAAGUCUGCUUUUAUUAGGGGAUUGAAUAAAAGUGAAAGGAGUGCUUGAAAAGAAUGCGUAAUUUUGGAUGGGAUAAUUCAUCACUUCACUCCAGGUCAGUUUUUCACAGUAAGAAGUGCUGGCUCUUCAGAAAAUUUGGCAUAACCAAAGUUUGUUUUCACUACCUCCUCCUUCUCACAUUGUCCUUUGUCACACCCCCAGCAGGUCCACAGUGAUCCUGCAGGCCACCCCCAUGGGCCCUGCCCGUUUUCUUCCACCAGGGGCUAUCUUACAUCAAUCUUUCAAGGUCUCCUCAGUAAUGUAGGCCAGUUGGAUUUUUGCUUUCUUUUCCCAGAGGACAAUUCAGCCUCAGCAUCUUAGUCUAAAAGGAUUCAUGCAAGGGUGUCAGAUGUUUUAUUAGGCUAACGGGAGGUAUUUUGGGUUGUGGGGAGCACUUAAUGCAACCCUGUAUGACAUUCCCUACUCAGUGAUGUUCAGGCUGCACAGGCCAACAUGGAAAGGGCUUAAGGGAGAUGACAAAAAAAAUCUCUUCUUCCACAAGGAUUUUCAAUUGAUCAAUUUUGUAACUUUUUUGUGAUGAAACUAUCUGCACUGCAACUAAUGAUUUUUUUUCUCAAGGUGGAAAAGGUAGGAGCAACAGCUUUCAGUUCUAAGGAUACAUUCUGUUGACCUUCAUAAGCCCUAGGAACUAGAGGGGUAAGAUUGAGGAGGAAAUAGAGAAAAUAAUUUGCUCUAUAGUAUUUUCCCCCUGAGCUGCCAUCUGGGGCUUUCAGAGCUUAGCACUGCACUCUUGCACUGUUGCACACACCACAGGAACAAUACCAGGAGAUGUCAAACAUGAGUGGUAUUGGUCACUGGAAACAGCAGAUUCCAAAUAGCUGUCUCACCAGAUUGUUCUUUCAGAAGAUUAAUUUGUGCCAACUACUUCUUUGUCAUGGAUCCUUCCUGGUUCUGCAACACAGAUGUGGAAAGUGAAGAGAACAUGUCAUGGGAUUCCAUUUCUAAGAGUGGAAAAUAUACAAUUUACAUGGGAUGUUUAAGAUAUUAAUAUAUUGUUCACCAUGUGUAUCCAGAGCUUUAGUAGAAGUAGAUUGAAAGAGCCGUUCAUGUAUACAUGGUGCUCCUCAUUGUCAAAUGCUGAAGCCUGUUUCAGGCUGGGUUUGGGGGCUGGGGGUACUUAUGGGACAAAGUCUGACUCUCGGUCUGUAGGCUGAGUGCCUUCUUAGUGUGUUGGGACUCAGCAUGUAUUCACCCCAUCUGUACUCACAAGCCUAAUUCAUUAAUCAGGAUGACUUACCGGGCUGUGAGCCCUUUGAGGACAGGACCUUGUACCUUUAUCUUGUGCCUCUCAUGCCUAGCAUAGCACCAGGCAUGUAAGAGGUUCUUUUUAAAAAAGUGUUUUACAGCUUUAUCAAGGCAUACAUGAUGUCGGAUCAACUGCAUGUGUUUAAAGUUUUACACUUGAUGAAUUUUGAUAUAUGUCUAUACCCAUGAAACCAUCACUGCAAUCAAGAUAAUAAACGCAUUCAUCCGCCCUAAAAUUUCUCGUGUCCCUUUGCAAGCUGCUCCCCUUCCUCCCAUUGUUCCCAGACAACCACUAUUCUGCUUUCUGUCACUGCAGAUGAGUUUGUGUUUUCUGGAAUUUUAUAUAAAUGGAAUCAUACAACAUGUACUCUGUUUUUCUUUCUGGCUGUUUUCACUCAGCAUAAUUUUCUCAAGAUUCAUUGAAGUUCUAUACAUUAAUAGUUUGCUACAUUACAUUGCUGAAUAGUAUUCCAUUGUAUAAAUCAUAAUAGGCACCUAACAAGUGUUUGUGGCUUUACAUUGAUUUGAAAAUUAAUUUUUAAGAAUAUAAUUGGGCGAAAAGUGGACAAUGGGAUACCACUCUAUUCUUGGUGAGUGGGUUCACUCAGGAAGUGGAAAUAGGAAUCAGGAGAUAAUUUGGCAUGGUAGAGACUUUUGUUGUCAUCCAAUAUCUAUUUUUCCUUCUUUCUUAGUACUAGAAUACCUGAGUUUUGGCUGGGCACAGAACUGUCUGGAAUACAGACUACAAUUCCCAGCCUUCUGUGCAGUUCUGUGUGGCCAUGUGACUAAGUUGUGAUCAAUAUGAGUCACAGAAGAAUAGAAGAACAACUCAGAGGAGGAGGAAGUCAGACAUAGCCAGACGCGGCUGCUAGCAGUUCCACCAAUGAAAGAGGAGACCGGGAUGUUUAAAACAGGCAAACACAAGGUGCGAAAAACCAGAAGUGAAAACUUCUGAGGUCAUUUAAGCAGGGACUGUCGUUAUUCCCGGAAGCAGAGAGAAGUUCAGUCCCUUGCCCAACAUCACACUGCAAGCAUGCGUUGGAGCUGAGAUUCAAACCCAGGCAUCCAGGGUCCAGGGCCCAUGCUCUUAACAUAUUCCAUAUCUUAGGAUAAUUUCCCCUAUUUAAACAAUAAAAGUGCAAAAAUCUUGUGGCUAGCCAAAA
This 2917-nucleotide non-coding RNA is filed under the name Pongo abelii (Sumatran orangutan). The record is from RNAcentral. Lineage: Eukaryota; Metazoa; Chordata; Mammalia; Primates; Hominidae.